CGCGCGAGCCGGAUCCUGGGCUCAGAUACGUCGUAACAGGGUGCCCUAAUACGAGUGUAGAGUGGCGCACGGGUGCGUAACGCGUGAGCAACCUACCUCUAUCAGGGGGAUAGCCUCUCGAAAGAGAGAUUAACACCGCAUAACAUAUCUGACCGGCAUCGGUUAGAUAUUAAAUAUUUAUAGGAUAGAGAUGGGCUCGCGUGACAUUAGCUAGUUGGUAGGGUAACGGCUUACCAAGGCGACGAUGUCUAGGGGCUCUGAGAGGAGAAUCCCCCACACUGGUACUGAGACACGGACCAGACUCCUACGGGAGGCAGCAGUAAGGAAUAUUGGUCAAUGGGCGGAAGCCUGAACCAGCCAUGCCGCGUGCAGGAUGACUGCCCUAUGGGUUGUAAACUGCUUUUGUCCAGGAAUAAACCUAGAUACGUGUAUCUAGCUGAAUGUACUGGAAGAAUAAGGAUCGGCUAACUCCGUGCCAGCAGCCGCGGUAAUACGGAGGAUCCGAGCGUUAUCCGGAUUUAUUGGGUUUAAAGGGUGCGUAGGCGGCCUAUUAAGUCAGGGGUGAAAUACGGUGGCUCAACCCCUCGCAGUGCCUUUGAUACUGAUGGGCUUGAAUCCAUUUGAAGUGGGCGGAAUAAGAAAAGUACCGGUGAAAUGCAUAGAUAUGUCUUAGAACUCCGAUUGGAAAGGGAGCUCACCUAAGCUGGUAUUGACCCUGAUGCACACAAAAAGUGGGG
Molecule: ribosomal RNA, 737 nt
Filed under: Sphingobacterium multivorum
Lineage: Bacteria; Pseudomonadati; Bacteroidota; Sphingobacteriia; Sphingobacteriales; Sphingobacteriaceae
Description: bacterial SSU rRNA
Rfam family: Bacterial small subunit ribosomal RNA
Source: RNAcentral